RNAcentral lists this long non-coding RNA (1561 nucleotides) under Anas platyrhynchos platyrhynchos (common mallard). RNAcentral's name for it is "lncRNA (ENSAPLG00000022169.1)". Lineage: Eukaryota; Metazoa; Chordata; Aves; Anseriformes; Anatidae. The record is from RNAcentral.
CACCCCUCCCCAGACAUCCCUUCUGGCCCCCGUGGUGCAGCUAAACCUCACAAAUGUGAAGACUGAAGCAUCUAUUGGGAAGGCUAAGCUAUGUGAAGCUUUUGUAUGAGCCAGGGCCCGUCUAGAAGUGGCUGCUCAGCGGAAGCAGCGCUCCUUUAAUUGUUAAAUUUGUACUGUGCUUCUCACCCACAUCCCAAUUUUUAGUGUUUUCCCUCAAGGCCCUGCUCUGUUGCCCCGGGCCUGGCUGUGAAAACCUCAGCUGUUGCUGUCCCUGUGUUUAACCGCCUGUGUUUCUGAGCCUCACCAUUCACAGAAAAAAAAAAAAAAAAAAAAAAAAAAAAAAAGAAAAAAAAAAGCUUGAAAACGUGAGCCCAGCACUCUCAAAGGAAACAAUUCUAAUCAUUCUCUUUUUUCCCUUACCACUGCGAUUUAUUUAAAAAGGGACUCUGGGGCCUCACCCAGGAGUUUCGGGUGCUGCUCAGCGUGGGGAGAGCAAGCACAAAGCCACCGCUGCCGCCCGGGGAAGCGUGGCGAGCACAGCUCUGCGCUGCCCACCCUGCUCCCUUCCAGCUUGAAAUGCAGAGCCAGCCGAACAAGCAGCGUUAGGUGCAAAAGGGGGAGGAAGGAGGCGACGACAGCACCGUUCCUCCACCAGGAUCAGUGCCAUGGCUCAAGGCCCUGCAGGCUGUGCAGCACCACCGGGACCAUCCCUGCCCUUCAGAAGUGGUUUGGGGGUCUUAGGGCAUUCAUCUUGCUGAAUAGGACCAUGAGGAAGCCCAGUCCCAGGAGCAGGAGGACAAAGGAAGAGGCCACAAGGCUGCUUUCGCUGCCUGCCUAGGGCGCACAUGAUCAGGAGCCCCGUGUGCAUCCCUCGCCCCUUCUGUAACUCCCCCCGUGCUCAUGGUUCCCCACUCUGAGCUGCUUCGGGAGCACAGGGACUUUUGAGGGGAUUUCUGGAGCCUGCCUCAAGACGCUUUGGCUGCGGAGAGGGCUCUCGGCAGCAGCGUGGGGAAAGGGCAGGUCCCCACUUUGGGCAGGAUGCUAAUGGCGCAUCGCAGUAGGCAGGCUGCGAACACAAACCCUGGAAGGCUGUUGCCACUGAUAACACCCAUCUGCUGUGGCAUCAUGUCCGUUGACAUAACCUUAAUUAAUGACAUUACCAAGCUAAUGAGGAGAUAAACCACCGAUCCCAGGUCCUGUUAAGAAAUUGUCUUAAAUACCAGUCCCUAAUCGCUAUGGAGAAACAGACAGUGGGCCAAAACGCACACCUGGAGCGAAGAGGUGUGGUGCUGUGUUUGCUGGUGAAGCUGCGUUUGUUUACUCCGGGACUGACUGCGAACCGUCCUGAUUAACACACGGCGGGCGUGCGCUGGGCGGGAAGUUGUAAACAGCCCCGGCCUUAUGUAAUGGCACGGCUCUUGUGCAAGAUCUGUCAUCCAGAUGGCAGCAGGAUUGAUGUCUGGGGAGAUCAGCAUCGUGCCAGCCUGGGGUGCAGAUGUGCGUGGGAGUGCACCAACCCCAGGCUCGCUCUUCCCAGACCACGGGCGGGCACAGAGGGGCU